GACGGCGAGGAGGAGGCGCUCUGCCCCAUCUGCCUCGACGCCAUGGAGCCGGGCCGCGCCGUGCGCGUCCUCCCCAGCUGCAACCGUGCCUUCCGCCAGGACUGCGGCGAUCGAUGGCUGGCCAUCUCGCCUGGGUGGCCGCCCUGCUCAGCCGCUCGAGCCGCACGGUCGAGCUCGUCCGGCCGGACAGCGCCAUGUCCGCCUCCUGCAGGACGAUGGUGCGCGCGCUUUCGCGCUUGCCUUUGCGUGGCAAGGAGGACGGCGGCGAGUUCGCGUGCAAGUCCAUCCCUGCUGGCGCGAGUUGAUGCUGCCGCGUGCACUGCUCUCCUGCUGCCCAAGGCGGACGAGCGACGGGGCACGGCGAGUCACGCGAGAUGGCGAGGACUGCGGUGGGAUCAUCGUGGCGUCUUCCUCGCCUCGCCGUCGAGCUAG
RNAcentral lists this ribosomal RNA (432 nucleotides) under Triticum aestivum (bread wheat). RNAcentral describes it as "partial small subunit ribosomal RNA". The record is from RNAcentral. Lineage: Eukaryota; Viridiplantae; Streptophyta; Magnoliopsida; Poales; Poaceae.